This is a long non-coding RNA of Papaver somniferum (opium poppy), 933 nucleotides long. RefSeq lists it as uncharacterized. Lineage: Eukaryota; Viridiplantae; Streptophyta; Magnoliopsida; Ranunculales; Papaveraceae. The transcript is spliced from 2 exons. The record is from RefSeq and is a predicted model, not a curated record.
CGGAUCAUUACCUUCAAAGCAAAACCCUAACACAAAUACUCUACAGAUCCAUAUCCUGCCUCAUUUGCCCCCGCUUCUGCCCGAUAUUUUCACCUCUGAAGAGAUGGAGAUGAUGAAGGCGAAACCAUGAAUCAUAGUAAAACCUUGUUCAUGCCCUAAUUUGAUUCUGUGAUUUUGAAGAUGGGAGAUGGAAAGAGGAAUUCGAUGAAGGGGUGUAGAUUCAGGUGAAACUAGGGUUUGAACGAAGAAUUAGGAACCAAGAAUGGGUUUUUGAGUGAAUGGUGAAGGACUUAGUCAAGUAGUUGCAGGUUGAAUUUGUUGAUUACAGGGAAGAAGGAAUUGGAGGUUGUUGUCUACGGUGAAUUAGAAGCUUAGAAGAUGGUAUUGCGGUGGUUGGAGGUGGUGGUGCAUAAGAGAGACGAAUCUGGUUUGUUGGGGGUUUCUAAUGGAAUGAAUUUGGUGAUGGGUUGGAGCUAAGUUGCUUGGUGGUGGUGGUGUUGGUUAUAAACAGUGGUGUUGCUUGCUGCUGGUGUGUUGUUGUUGCUUGUAGGGGGUGGUGUUGCUGCUGCUGGUUGCUGUUGCUGGUGAAAUAGAUUAGGAUCCUUACAUGGCAUCGGAACUUCAGCCCGCAUUCAGUAUCGUUACAUCACAUUCCCUCAAAGGAUUCACCGUUUCCUCUUCUGGUAUAGCCGCCAUCACCACCACCACCACCACCAGUUCAUCACCAUCACUUCAACAAAUCGGGAAGGGUGUUUAAGACAAAAGUCACACUGUUUUUCUCAAAGCAGUUAAGUCGGAUGGGAAAAUACCACUUUGCAAACACUAAUUAAAGCUAUGAUCAUUUUGUAAAACUAAUUAAGGGAGUGUAAUAAUUUUGUAAAACACCCUUUUCACAAUUAGCUUGGUAGCUUGGUCCAUCUUUAUUCCAUUUCA